This 565-nucleotide ribosomal RNA is filed under the name uncultured bacterium. RNAcentral's name for it is "bacterial SSU rRNA". It matches the Rfam family "Bacterial small subunit ribosomal RNA", at positions 313 to 869 of the family's 1533-position model. The record is from RNAcentral.
CUGGGACUGAGACACGGCCCAGACUCGUACGGGAGGCAGCAGUGGGGAAUUUUGGACAAUGGGGGCAACCCUGAUCCAGCCAUUCCGCGUGAGUGAAGAAGGCCUUCGGGUUGUAAAGCUCUUUCGGCAGGAACGAAACGGUGCAGGUUAAUACCCUGUAUCAAUGACGGUACCUGAAGAAGAAGCACCGGCUAACUACGUGCCAGCAGCCGCGGUAAUACGUAGGGUGCGAGCGUUAAUCGGAAUUACUGGGCGUAAAGCGUGCGCAGGCGGCUUUGUAAGACAGGUGUGAAAUCCCCGGGCUUAACCUGGGAACUGCGCUUGUGACUGCAAGGCUUGAGUGCGGCAGAGGGGGGUGGAAUUCCACGUGUAGCAGUGAAAUGCGUAGAGAUGUGGAGGAACACCGAUGGCGAAGGCAGCCCCCUGGGUCGACACUGACGCUCAUGCACGAAAGCGUGGGUAGCAAACAGGAUUAGAUACCCUGGUAGUCCACGCCCUAAACGAUGCCAACUAGGUGUUGGGGAAGGAGACUUCCUUAGUACCGUAGCUAACGCGUGAAGUUGGC